Molecule: non-coding RNA, 3385 nt
Organism: Lactuca sativa (garden lettuce)
Lineage: Eukaryota; Viridiplantae; Streptophyta; Magnoliopsida; Asterales; Asteraceae
Source: RefSeq, a predicted model, not a curated record
CUUCUAGGGUUCUUUUCAAGAUGGAAGUGCUCUGCAACAUUCGCUACCAUGGCUCACCUCAUCUACCAUCGAUCUCGACUCAUCUCUUUUAGCCGGCGAGCUUGGGCUAACAUUACCUCGAUGGAGACCACAACAGAUGCUCAAGUUUACAAGCCCUAGGUCUGGUUUAACGACCAUCAGAUCUUCUUUGUGAUCUGUCUCGCACAACAAGCCUCCCUCUCAAUAACAUCGUCUUCCUUGUGUUGAUCAAAAGACGCAGGGCUUGAAUUCUCUCACACACACAAACACACUUUCUGUGUACUUUCUCUUUCCUCAACUCGAAAUCCUACAUCUCCGAUCUAUUAACCUGUGUCCCCUUUGAAACCCUAAGAUCGGAGUUGCUGUCUCAUCUACCCUCUCAAUAACAUCGUCUUCCUUGUGUUUAUCAGAAGACGUAGGAUUGAAUUCUCUCACACAUACAAACACACUUUUUGUGUACUUUCUCUUUCCUCAAUUCUCAGGCCUGAUUUCGACUCAGAAUCCUACAUCUCCGAUCUAUUAACCUAUGUCCCCUUUGAAACCCUAAGAUCAGAGUUGCCGUCUCAUCUACCCUCUCAAUAACAUCGUCUUCCUUGUGUUGAUCAGAAGACGUAGGCUUAAAUUCUCUUACACACACAAACACACUUUCUAUGUACUUUCUCUUUCCUCAAUUCUCAGCCCUGAUUUCGACUCGGAAUCCUACAUCUCCGAUCUAUGAACCUGUGUACCCUUUGAAACCCGAAGAUCGGAGUUGCUGUCUCAUCUUUCAUCCCUUAAACAUGAACUAGUAGAGCGAGUUAACCGAGAUUAUGCUGACUUCGUGAAUCUCAGCACCAAACUUGUAGAUGUCGAUGCCGCUGUUUUGCGUAUGAGGGCACCACUCAUUGAGAUCCGUGAGAAAAUAUAAGGUAUGCCAAGGAAUUUUGCGAUGCAAUUGUGGCAAAAUGCCUUACAGGGAGGCCAAAAACGGUUAAGAAGGCACAAAUGGUGUUUAUGCUUUGGUUGGAAUUGAUGGUGUUUAUGCUUUGGGUGGAAUUGCAACAGCUGUUUGUGGUCCAUGUUGUAGAGUAAUUCAAGUGCCUCCUGUUGUUGACUGCUUGCAGCCUGUUGUCAACAUAGUUCCAUUACAGGCAUACACAAGUCAAAUUGUGGUGAUGGCUAUGGUGGCUCUAGCCAUUGGAGCUGACACAAUCUCUUCUAAACCACGAAGAGAAGCAAUCAAGAAAGCCUUGUACAUUUGCCAAGUAUGAUCCAUUUCCAUUUCCAUAUACAGCAACAGGGUUAACAUACUCUAAUUAAAAAAAAAAAAUUUAAGGCAAAGUGAAGGAAGUGUUGAAACUUGAUGAAGAGACAGAAGGGUCCUGUGGUAGCUGAAGCUAUGUUUGUAGAUCGUGAAGAGAUUCCAGACUAUCCAAUAUAUAGGGACCUUGUUCAUGAUUUUGGAUUUUUCUGUUAAGAUCCUGUUGCAAUACAAUUCCUGAGCUAUGAGGAGAUUCCCCUUGCUCCAGAUGCUGCUUGUGUUGGAUUGGAAGUUAGAGUUGUUGGUAAUGAUAGUGGAGAGAAGGUAUACACAAAUCAUCUUUGUGGGCCAGCUUUAAUUGAAAAGUUCAAUGAAGAGAUUGAAGUUAGGGCAUUGAAGGAGCAGGUGUUUGUGAUUGCUUGCUCACAUGUUGGAGGACAUAAGUAUGCGGAAUAUAUAGUUCAGUUGAAGAUGGAAAAGUGUCUGGACAUCGGUAAAACAAUCCAUAAUCGAGACCACAAUCCAAAAAUACCCUCCCUCCAAAUAUCAUCUAAAACUUAGUGGGCUCGAUCGCACCCCCAAGGAUGAAGAGAAGAAGAUGGGUAUUGUUGUGAAGGAAGAUUUUUGUGGUCCGGAUAGAUCAAACACCAUGGUAAUCAAGAGACUGAUAGUAUUACAUUUAUGAGCUUCUCAAGGUAACUUUUUCAUUCAAUAUUCCCCCUACUCUUUAAUCUAUUCUCGUUGUUGUCAACAUUGGCGUACCCACUGUAUGCUUGUAUUGACAAUGCAAAACACGAUCACCUCUACCAAACUCAAUUUUACUUCUUCACUUCUCUGAUUGCUUGAUACCAAAUCAAUUCAUCAUCUUCUUGUUUGUUUCCUUAAUUAUAUAUAUUUUUUUCAUGUAAUCUGCGUUGAGGAGAAGCCGUGAUUAAUGAUGUUUUUGAUUGAUCUGGAAUCCAUCUCGGAGGCAACAUCAGGAGCUAUUGGAGCUGUUUUGAGCACAACCAUCUUGUACCCUCUUGAUACCUGUAAAGCUAAGUAUCAGGUCGAGGUUCGCUCUCAUGUACGACAGAAAUACAAGUGGAAGAAACAAAUCCUUAAACAAGAAUGUUUAAGGACUCUUCCAUAAUUUUUUUACCUACGGGAAACCAUCAGAUGUGUUGUUAGAAGCAGUAUCCAGUGGUCGAGUUUUAUCAUUACAUCAAGGCCUUGGAACAAAGAACUUACAAUCUUUUACAACACAAUUUGUAUACUUUUAUGGAUACUGCUACUUUAAAAGGUUGUAUCAUAUUAAAUACAACACAAAGUCAAUUGGAACAAAAGUAAAUUUGAUUCUUGCAGCUUCUGCAGGUGCUUGUACUGCCAUCGUUACUCAGGCUUGUCAAGUCGGUGUAACAAACACAGCUUAAGCAACUCCAACAGAUAUGGAAUAUAUGACAACAAACCUGCAGCAGUCUUCACAUUAGAGAAGAGAGCAACCACUAGAAAGGCCAUAGAAAUCUGGAAUAGUUGCAAAAUGACCCAUGUAAAGAAUAAUGGUCUAAGGAGAGAAGAGAAAUCCAGUCUUAACUAUUAUCUACAAAUUAUGAUUCACUGAUUCCAGUUCCUUUCAUUGAUUCCCUACAUGAAACCUCUCCUCGAAUUCUUCUCACAUGACUUGUACCUUCUUCUGCAACAUCCAUUUUCUCCUUCAAGGAAAUAGUAAAAAAUGAAGGUACCUGAAGUAAUAAUUUGAUGAUUUGAAAGUCAAUAUUAGCAUGGUACCAGACUAAAAAUUGGGUCGAUAUCCGAGAUCCAUAUACCGAGAAGAUAUUCUUCAACGAUCUAGUCAGAUCCCACUUUAGUAAUUAUUCCUUUUUCUAUACAGAAAUUUUUGCAUUUUUCUUCCGGCAACAAUGGCGACUGAUAUUGGACAUCCACACACUAGGUUGAUGAUGAAAGCGAAUAGCUCUAGAGUUAGAAGAGGAAAAGAAAGCUCAAGUUGAAAGAGAUAAGAUGCUGCAAAUGCAAGUGUUGCAUUCUUCAUUCCAAUUGUUAGUAGUAGAUUAGAUGAAUGCAAAUUUAUAUAUUGUUAGAAAUAAAAUUAUAUGACAUUAAAUAUUAUGCAAUGGAUUGUAUUUUUUG